Molecule: ribosomal RNA, 466 nt
Filed under: uncultured bacterium
Lineage: Bacteria
Description: partial 16S ribosomal RNA
Rfam family: Bacterial small subunit ribosomal RNA
Source: RNAcentral
GAUGAACGCUGGCGGCGUGCUUAACACAUGCAAGUCGAACGGUGAAAGAGAGCUUGCUCUCUGGAUCAGUGGCGAACGGGUGAGUAACACGUGAGCAAUCUGCCCCUGACUCUGGGAUAAGCGCUGGAAACGGCGUCUAAUACCGGAUACGAGCUGCGAAGGCAUCUUCAGCAGCUGGAAAGAACUUCGGUCAGGGAUGAGCUCGCGGCCUAUCAGCUAGUUGGUGAGGUAACGGCUCACCAAGGCGUCGACGGGUAGCCGGCCUGAGAGGGUGACCGGCCACACUGGGACUGAGACACGGCCCAGACUACUACGGGAGGCAGCAGUGGGGAAUAUUGCACAAUGGGCGAAAGCCUGAUGCAGCAACGCCGCGUGAGGGACGACGGCCUUCGGGUUGUAAACCUCUUUUAGCAGGGAAGAAGCGAAAGUGACGGUACCUGCAGAAAAAGCACCGGCUAACUACGUG